Molecule: ribosomal RNA, 492 nt
Filed under: uncultured bacterium
Lineage: Bacteria
Description: partial 16S ribosomal RNA
Rfam family: Bacterial small subunit ribosomal RNA
Source: RNAcentral
AGUGAACGCUGGCGGUAGGCCUAACACAUGCAAGUCGAACGGCAGCACAGUAAGAGCUUGCUCUUACGGGUGGCGAGUGGCGGACGGGUGAGGAAUACAUCGGAAUCUACUUUUUCGUGGGGGAUAACGUAGGGAAACUUACGCUAAUACCGCAUACGACCUACGGGUGAAAGCAGGGGAUCUUCGGACCCUGCGCGAUUGAAUGAGCCGAUGUCGGAUUAGCUAGUUGGCGGGGUAAAGGCCCACCAAGGCGACGAUCCGUAGCUGGUCUGAGAGGAUGAUCAGCCACACUGGAACUGAGACACGGUCCAGACUCCUACGGGAGGCAGCAGUGGGGAAUAUUGGACAAUGGGCGCAAGCCUGAUCCAGCCAUACCGCGUGGGUGAAGAAGGCCUUCGGGUUGUAAAGCCCUUUUGUUGGGAAAGAAAAGCAGCAGGUUAAUACCCCGCUGUUCUGGCGGUACCCAAAGAAUAAGCACCGGCUAACUUCGUG